GCGUAACGCGUAUACAAUCUACCUUUAACAAAGGGAUAGCCCAUGGAAACGUGGAUUAAUACCUUAUAAUAUAUAUGAAUGGCAUCAUUUAUAUAUCAAAGAAUUUCGGUUAGAGAGGAGUAUGCGUGACAUUAGCUAGUUGGUGAGGUAACGGCCCACCAAGGCAACGAUGUCUAGGGGUUCUGAGAGGAUGAUCCCCCACACUGGUACUGAGACACGGACCAG
Molecule: ribosomal RNA, 225 nt
Filed under: uncultured bacterium
Lineage: Bacteria
Description: partial 16S ribosomal RNA
Rfam family: Bacterial small subunit ribosomal RNA
Source: RNAcentral